UAUGGCUCAGAUUGAACGCUGGCGGCAGGCCUAACACAUGCAAGUCGAGCGGUAACAGGAAUAGCUUGCUAUUCGCUGACGAGCGGCGGACGGGUGAGUAACGCGUAGGAAUCUGCCCGGUAGUGGGGGAUAGCCCGGAGAAAUCCGGAUUAAUACCGCAUACGCCCUAAGGGGGAAAGCAGGGGAUCUUCGGACCUUGCGCUAUCGGAUGAGCCUGCGUCNGAUUAGCUUGUUGGUGGGGUAAUGGCCUACCAAGGCAACGAUCCGUANCUGGUCUGAGAGAAUGAUCAGCCACACCGGAACUGAGACACGGUCCGGACUCCUACGGGAGGCAGCAGUGGGGAAUAUUGCACAAUGGGCGCAAGCCUGAUGCAGCCAUGCCGCGUGUGUGAAGAAGGCCUUCGGGUUGUAAAGCACUUUCAGCAGGGAGGAAAGGUUGUAAAUUAAUACUUUGCAGCUGUGACGUUACCUGCANAANAAGCACCGGCUAACUCCGUGCCAGCAGCCGCGGUAAUACGGAGGGUGCAAGCGUUAAUCGGAAUUACUGGGCGUAAAGCGCGCGUAGGCGGCUUGUUAAGCCAGAUGUGAAAGCCCCGGGCUUAACCUGGGAACUGCAUUUGGAACUGGCAGGCUAGAGUACAGAAGAGGGUGGUAGAAUUUCCUGUGUAGCGGUGAAAUGCGUAAGAUAUAGGAAGGAAUACCAGUGGCGAAGGCGGCCACCUGGUCUGAUACUGACGCUGANGUGCGAAAGCNUGGGGGAGCAAAACAGGAAUUANAUACCCUGNUNAGUCCCCGCCGUAAAACGAUGUCNACUAACCCGUUUGGGACCCCUU
RNAcentral lists this ribosomal RNA (833 nucleotides) under uncultured bacterium. Its description in RNAcentral is "bacterial SSU rRNA". It matches the Rfam family "Bacterial small subunit ribosomal RNA", at positions 18 to 836 of the family's 1533-position model. The record is from RNAcentral.